Molecule: long non-coding RNA, 398 nt
Organism: Colossoma macropomum (tambaqui)
Lineage: Eukaryota; Metazoa; Chordata; Actinopteri; Characiformes; Serrasalmidae
Exons: 4
Source: RefSeq, a predicted model, not a curated record
CUGCAGUGUAGAGUGGUUCUCUUUAGGCUGGGUAGCUGUUGGUCUUCAGUAUGGUUCCCCAGAGAGUCAUUGUGGGAUUUCUUCUGAUUGUGCUUGUCUCUAAUGUGUUUGGGUCUCUGGCUGAGCGUGAGCAGGCAUGUGCAGAGGGGCUCAUCUUAGCGCGGCUGAUCAGAAACUACAGAGAGACCAAAGGUGGAGCAAAACAGCUGUUCCAGGGGGAUGGAGAUGAACGUUCAGGCUCUGGAGAUUCUGCAGACUUCGUAGUGCUAACAUGAGAUGAAGACCUGAAGGGAAAGCAGCUGUCCAAGUGAAUUUGUCAACAUCCCAUAACCCUGCAGCAUCUGAGCAUCUGGCUCCAACUGCAUGCCUCACUGCUUCUCUGUCUUGGAAUAAAUGUU